This 299-nucleotide ribosomal RNA is filed under the name uncultured bacterium. RNAcentral describes it as "partial 16S ribosomal RNA". It matches the Rfam family "Bacterial small subunit ribosomal RNA", at positions 9 to 301 of the family's 1533-position model. The record is from RNAcentral.
GAGUUUGAUCUUGGCUCAGGAUGAACGCUAGCGACAGGCCUAACACAUGCAAGUCGAGGGGCAGCGGGGGCGAAGCUUGCUUCGCCUGCCGGCGACCGGCGCACGGGUGAGUAACACGUAUGGAACCUGCCCGCCACAGGGGGAUAACCGGUAGAAAUGCCGACUAACACCCCGUAUGCCCACAGGGGCGCAUGCCCCGGUGGGGAAACGAUCAGGGUGGCGGAUGGCCAUGCGGCGCAUUAGCUAGUUGGCGGGCAACGGCCCACCAAGGCGACGAUGCGUAGGGGUUCUGAGAGGAA